GUGUGUGUGUGUGAAAGGCUUAGAAAAGACAGACAUGAGAAGGAAAGCUGGGUCUCGAUGGGACACUGCCUCUCUGAUGGAGGGACAGCGCCACGGAAGUACAAGCCAUGUCUUUAUUUCAUAGCAGAUGC
Long non-coding RNA from Pipistrellus kuhlii (Kuhl's pipistrelle), 131 nucleotides. RefSeq lists it as uncharacterized. Lineage: Eukaryota; Metazoa; Chordata; Mammalia; Chiroptera; Vespertilionidae. The transcript has 3 exons. The record is from RefSeq and is a predicted model, not a curated record.